RNAcentral lists this long non-coding RNA (360 nucleotides) under Gallus gallus (chicken). RNAcentral describes it as "lncRNA (ENSGALG00010000395.1)". The record is from RNAcentral. Lineage: Eukaryota; Metazoa; Chordata; Aves; Galliformes; Phasianidae.
GCCCCCGAGCCAGGAGGCGGCGGCGGCGGCGGGGCCCAGCGGCUCCCCCGGCCGAUCCGAGGACCGUUUCUUCGCACCCCCACCCCACCACCACCACCCCCAAAAUCCCCUUUUCUCACCCUAAAACCGUUUUGAGGGCAAAAAAGGGUUUUUUGGGGGCCGAGCAGCGCCAUUUUUUCACCGCCAACAACAAUUUUCCCUUCAGAUUUUCCCUUUCGCUUUUUUUCCCUUUUUCCUUUUUUCCCCAUUUUUCCUUUUCCCCCCAUUUCCCCAAUUUCCCCUUUUUCCCCCCAUUUUUCCCCUUUUUACCCCCAGUUUCCCUUUUUCCCCCCAUUUCCCCCUUUUUUUCGCCCGUUGCCC